UAGGACCUACGGGACGCAGCAGUGGGGAAUAUUGCACAAUGGGGGAAACCCUGAUGCAGCAACGCCGCGUGAGUGAAGAAGGUUUUCGGAUUGUAAAGCUCUAUCAGCAGGGAAGAUAAUGACGGUACCUGACUAAGAAGCCCCGGCUAACUACGUGCCAGCAGCCGCGGUAAUACGUAGGGGGCAAGCGUUAUCCGGAUUUACUGGGUGUAAAGGGAGCGUAGGUGGCAGGGCAAGUCAGAUGUGAAAACCCGGGGCUCAACUCCGGGAGUGCAUUUGAAACUGUCCAGCUAGAGUGCAGGAGA
RNAcentral lists this ribosomal RNA (305 nucleotides) under uncultured bacterium. RNAcentral describes it as "bacterial SSU rRNA". It matches the Rfam family "Bacterial small subunit ribosomal RNA", at positions 333 to 655 of the family's 1533-position model. The record is from RNAcentral.